AGUGAACGCUGGCGGUAGGCCUAACACAUGCAAGUCGAACGGCAGCACAGGAGAGCUUGCUCUCUGGGUGGCGAGUGGCGGACGGGUGAGGAAUACAUCGGAAUCUGCCCAGUCGUGGGGGAUAACGUAGGGAAACUUACGCUAAUACCGCAUACGACCUUCGGGUGAAAGAGGGGGAUCGCAAGACCUCUCGCGAUUGGAUGAGCCGAUGUCGGAUUAGCUAGUUGGCGGGGUAAUGGCCCACCAAGGCGACGAUCCGUAGCUGGUCUGAGAGGAUGAUCAGCCACACUGGAACUGAGACACGGUCCAGACUCCUACGGGAGGCAGCAGUGGGGAAUAUUGGACAACGGGCGCAAGCCUGAUCCAGCCAUACCGCGUGGGUGAAGAAGGCCUUCGGGUUGUAAAGCCCUUUUGUUGGGAAAGAAAUCUUUCAGGCUAAUACCCUGGGAGGAUGACGGUACCCAAAGAAUAAGCACCGGCUAACUUCGUG
RNAcentral lists this ribosomal RNA (490 nucleotides) under uncultured bacterium. Its description in RNAcentral is "partial 16S ribosomal RNA". It matches the Rfam family "Bacterial small subunit ribosomal RNA", at positions 29 to 507 of the family's 1533-position model. The record is from RNAcentral.